This 235-nucleotide ribosomal RNA is filed under the name uncultured bacterium. Its description in RNAcentral is "partial 16S ribosomal RNA". It matches the Rfam family "Bacterial small subunit ribosomal RNA", at positions 96 to 334 of the family's 1533-position model. The record is from RNAcentral.
UGGCGGACGGGUGAGUAAUGUCUGGGAAACUGCCCGAUGAGGGGGAGUAACUACUGGAAACGGUAGCUAAUACCGCAUAACGUCGCAAGACCAAAGAGGGGGACCUUCGGGCCUCGCGCCAUCAGAUGAACCCAUAUGGGAUUAGCUUGUAGGUAAGGUAACGGCUUACCUAGGCGACGAUCCCUAGCUGGUCUGAGAGGAUGACCAGCCACACUGGAACUGAGACACGGUCCAG